RNAcentral lists this ribosomal RNA (303 nucleotides) under uncultured bacterium. RNAcentral describes it as "partial 16S ribosomal RNA". It matches the Rfam family "Bacterial small subunit ribosomal RNA", at positions 507 to 808 of the family's 1533-position model. The record is from RNAcentral.
AGCAGUAGCCGCGGGAAUACGUAGGUCCCGAGCGUUGUCCGGAUUUAUUGGGCGUAAAGGGAGCGCAGGCGGUUUAGUAAGUCUGAAGUUAAAGGCAUUGGCUCAACCAAUGUAUGCUUUGGAAACUGUUAGACUUGAGUGCAGAAGGGGAGAGUGGAAUUCCAUGUGUAGCGGUGAAAUGCGUAGAUAUAUGGAGGAACACCGGUGGCGAAAGCGGCUCUCUGGUCUGUCACUGACGCUGAGGCUCGAAAGCGUGGGGCGCAAACAGGAUUAGAUACCCCGGUAGUCCCUGUCUCUUAUACA